Molecule: long non-coding RNA, 355 nt
Filed under: Sorghum bicolor (sorghum)
Lineage: Eukaryota; Viridiplantae; Streptophyta; Magnoliopsida; Poales; Poaceae
Description: long non-coding RNA (SBIC_LNC005117)
Source: RNAcentral
UGCAGAUUACUGUUUCCGACAUGAUAAAUUAAAAAGAUUAAAAUAUUUCUAAUCAUGAUUAAUCUCAAUCUGUGAUAUUUCCUGAAAACUUGCAAUUAUUAUAAAAUCAUUUUAAAACCCUGUGUUACUUAAGUCAAGAUAGAAUAUGUGAUGGUAGAGUAUGAGUUUCUUAUUCUUGAUAUCAUUGUUGCUUGGAGAACUUAUUUCAAAAUAUUCAAAUUUCUAGCUACCAUCCUCAGUGUUUUAUAUGCCUGAUAAAACUGAAAUAUUAAUUACGAUUAUAAAAGCUAUCUGCUCUGUAUUGAGUUUGUUCAAAAUGAGUUAGACCCUUGUUGAGAGAUUUAUCAUGCUCCCA